Molecule: ribosomal RNA, 408 nt
Filed under: Triticum aestivum (bread wheat)
Lineage: Eukaryota; Viridiplantae; Streptophyta; Magnoliopsida; Poales; Poaceae
Description: partial small subunit ribosomal RNA
Source: RNAcentral
AUGGUGUUGCUUGACGUCAGGGGUAUGUUGCAAUCCAUGGGCAAAGACAUAGCUGAUUUCGCUCUUCCAUGCAUUGACGGUGCGUUCGACCCAACCGAGGGCGAGGCCAGAGAAGUGAUCGAGGAAUCCAACGUCGAUUUUGACAUCAACGACACUAAAUUGGCAUCAUCGCUUAACUUGGAGCAGAGGGUUGCAUAUGACGAGAUACUAGCUGCUGUUGAACGCGGUGAUGGGGGUGUGUUCUUUGUUGAUGGCCCGGGAGGUACAGGGAAGACCUUCCUGUACAGGGCGCUGCUCGCCAAAGUUCGAAGCAAGGGAAACAUCGCUAUCGCUACCGCGACGUCAGGUGUUGCCGCUUCUAUCAUGCCUGGAGGCAGGACUGCCCACUCGAGGUUCAAGAUCCCAUUG